CAUGCACAGGUGGGGUCCCUUGGCCUGGCCUGUGCCCUCUUGCAAUCUGAGAACCCUCAGGGGAUGUCAGAGAGGUUUCCGUCUGAUCUUCACAGGCCAGGCCGAGGGACUCCACCGGUGCAUG
This 124-nucleotide microRNA precursor is filed under the name Myotis davidii. RNAcentral's name for it is "mir-9193 microRNA precursor family". It matches the Rfam family "mir-9193 microRNA precursor family". Lineage: Eukaryota; Metazoa; Chordata; Mammalia; Chiroptera; Vespertilionidae. The record is from Rfam by way of RNAcentral.